Molecule: long non-coding RNA, 549 nt
Filed under: Lathyrus oleraceus (garden pea)
Lineage: Eukaryota; Viridiplantae; Streptophyta; Magnoliopsida; Fabales; Fabaceae
Description: Pisum sativum (pea) long non-coding RNA (PSAT_LNC007406)
Source: RNAcentral
UUCCCAAGUCAAUAAUUAUUUACGCUACACUAAUUGGUCUUAUCAUAAUAGGUAGUGUUACUCUUCCCAGGUCAGUUUCUUUUUGGGGGGGUGUUUGUUGAAUAAUUGCAUUGUAACUAGCUUCCAAUUGAAUUGUGUCUUAGAUAGUGUACUUUCAUUUUUUGUUGAUGAUUUUUUCAUGAAUUUUGUAUAUGCAGACAUUGUGUCUAAAAAGCUUCUUCAAAUAAGAUGUUUAUUUGCAGUUGUUUGGAAGAUACCAAGAAAUCUUGCAUAUUUUAUUUCCUUAUUCUUUUUUUAGGUUGUGAGGGUAUGGUAAAGUCUUGACUGACACAUCUAUUUUUUUAUUUUUCCUUUUUCUAUUUUUCUUCUCUUUCUUUUUCUUCUUUUUCUUUUCUUCUUUUUUUUUCUUAUCUCUUUUCACUUUCUUUUUCUUCUUUUUAUUUUAUUUCACUUUUUAUUUUCUCUCAUUUUUCUUCUUUUUUUCUUUCUUCUUCUUCUUCUUCUUUUUCUUUCUUAUUUCUCUUUCUUGUUACCUCGACCACUUCUGGU